Molecule: ribosomal RNA, 207 nt
Filed under: uncultured bacterium
Lineage: Bacteria
Description: partial 16S ribosomal RNA
Rfam family: Bacterial small subunit ribosomal RNA
Source: RNAcentral
CUCGUAGGCGGUUUGUCGCGUCUGCUGUGAAAACCCGAGGCUCAACCUCGGGCCUGCAGUGGGUACGGGCAGACUAGAGUGCGGUAGGGGAGACCGGAAUUCCUGGUGUAGCGGUGGAAUGCGCAGAUAUCAGGAGGAACACCGAUGGCGAAGGCAGGUCUCUGGGCCGCAACUGACGCUGAGGAGCGAAAGCAUGGGUAGCGAACA